Triticum dicoccoides is the source of this 3132-nucleotide long non-coding RNA. RefSeq lists it as uncharacterized. The transcript is spliced from 10 exons. The record is from RefSeq and is a predicted model, not a curated record. Lineage: Eukaryota; Viridiplantae; Streptophyta; Magnoliopsida; Poales; Poaceae.
UCUCUUCUUCGAUGCGGCCUAACCGCGUCCCGUUCGCCCGCCCGGCCACCUGCCCGUGAGGGUUUCCGCGGCACCGCCGCCGCCGGCUGCCAUUCACGCCCACGCCGAGGGAAAGGCCGUAGUCAAGCCGUGGGGCGGGGGCAUCGGCGACGGGGCUGAUGCGACGGACCUCCAUGCGCCCUCCAAUCCGAAUGCCCUCUCGUCCACGUCUACAUCUGUCCGUUUAUCUCCUCUGAGUCAGAGUGCCCUCCGUCAGAACUCUUUGUCAGCAUGGCGGCCGGUGGCAGCGGCCAUCUACGAUCUGUUCGUGCGUUGCCCUGAUGGAGGCGGCCGUGCUCCAUAGCAAGGCAGAAAGGGAAACCAACUUCAACUUUGCGAGGAGAAGUUCCGCAUUUGAGAAGCCGGAGAAGAGUAUCUCACUAAGUACAGAUUCGAGUGACUUUGCCAAAACUUGCUGACAUGGGGUCUCGUUCAGAGCACAAGCUUCACCUGAAUAACCUUCUUUCAGUUAGUAAAACACUCAGCAAAGCAGCCGACUCCGUCGAUGUCGUGCUCGUUUACCAGCCAUGCAUUCCAGACAAGUUGAAUGCCGGUGGCAACAUGCAUUCAACGGCACCCUCGUCAGCGCUCUCCUCACAGGACCCCGCCUCCCACGCUGGACCUCCUUGCCGCCCGCACAACGCUAUUACUCCACGCACGCAUGGCCAAACUUCCUCAUAGGGGUGCGUAGGUGUGUCGUUCCUGCAGACCUAUUUUUUGGUGCUACGUCGACAUGCUAGGCCAUGCUUCAUCUUCGACUGGCUCAACCUCCACGGCACGGCGUAGCUGCGCAGGCUACAGUCCGCCCAAGCGCCGGGAUGUGCAAGGCGUUCUGGGGCGUGUGUACGCCGACUAAUGUGACUUUCUGCUUUACUCAGCGAGCAAUCCUAGGGAUUUCUUUUUUUUGGAAUUCAUUAUACAUUCUGUUUUUUAUUUAAUUUUAGGGCCUCAUGUGGAUAUAUCUGUUGCAGAUUGGUGAAGAUAAAGCUGCCGAUGUGGUGCUCACUGCUCACCUCGGAUGCAAUUCAAAAUUAUGUUGAUUUAUGUUCCUCUGUGUUACAGUUUAUUCUGGUUUUUAGAAAUACUAAUGUUUUUUCAGUAAGGACAGUGGCUAUUCUUAUUUUGACAUAGAGUGUGGUAGAUGAACAUGUCUUCAUUUCAGGUUGAAGGCAUUCCAAAUUCACUUAUAAUAGAAGCUCAAUAAUGCACUUAGUCUACCACCAAAUUCAAAUUAUUGAAAGAUCAAUCCAACAUUAAUUUGCCUCAGAUACAGUCUGGUGCAUUUUCCUUAACAUGACACUCUUUUUAGAGUGAUAACCUUCAUUUCAGGUUGACGGCAUUUCAAAGAAACUUCAAGAUUGCAAGAUAAUGAAAGCGUAAUUAUAUAUUUUUUGCAGUGGCAAGGUGAAAUUGUAUAAAAGAGACAAAGAAGAGCUGCUUCAUGUCCUUGAUCAUCGGUGCCCUUCUCCAGCGACCAACGUAUAUUCAUGCAUGAUGCUAAUGUGUGGAGACUAUGCCAGUGGAGAGACCAACGACGAUUACCUUGAGAUAGUGGGAUGUGCAUGGAAGGAGCGACUAACUAUGUAGAGGAAAGCUGCGCUCGCCGGCACUGGUCAGGGGCCUAAAUGAUUGAGGAGUGAAAUUAGAUCAUGGCCUUUCAUGUUUGAAGGGAUAUAGUAUUACGAUAACUCUCAAAAAUCAAUAUUGUAUAAUGACAGAAGUUAAUAAUCUAAAUCAGCAGGAGCAAGCUUUGGAUGAGUGUAUAUACUAGCGAGAUGUGCGGAAAGCUAAGCGGGUUAAUGGAAGAUGAGAAUGGUCGAAGCAGAGUUGUGGUGACGGUGUCAACCAUGAUGUUAUAGGGAGAUGCACUACUGGAUGCCAUUCUAUUUGCUCCAUGUGCAAUUUGGUAAAAUUGAUUCAUGUUUUAAAUUCAAAAGUUAUGUUCUUUCAGGUUGUAAACUGCAUCCUAUAGUUAUUCAUGCAUUUUUGUCUACGCGAUGACACGUAUAAAACGCAUUGUCAAUGUUUAGAUGAUGGUGGUAUAAGAAGAAAAUAAACUGCUGUUUUUUAUCCUCGACAAGAUAUUUUGGGUCCUUUUUCUGUGCUAGCAUCUUUUCUUUUGGAAUGGGAUAGUUAAUGGUGCUCUUAUAAAAAAUUUGUUGUCUCCCUUCAUUCCGAAAUAUAAGCCCUUUUAGAGAUUUCAAUAAGGACUACAUACGGAUGUAUAAGCUUCAUAUGUAGUCCAUAUUGGAAUCUCUAGAAAGGCUUAUAUUUAGGAACGGAGGGAGUACAAGAAAAACAACUGCGGCCACCUUUUUUUAGUUACUCUAUUCCAAGGUUGGUACUGGAAGAUUUCAGAAGGAAAAUGAAUGCAAAACAAACUAUGGAGAAAGUAAUAUGUGCAAUAUACCAAACUGGAGGAAGAAAUACAAAUCAAGAUAAGAACAUUACAUCAGUGGUGGUUUGAAAGAGGCAAAAGCAGGGAGGAAGGUAAAAUAAGAAAUGUAGAAGAGCUCUCUUAUAUUGCCUACAAGCAAGUUGAUUAGUGCUCUUGUAUUUUCAAGGAGAAGAGAAUUACUGGAAAAAAAAACGAAAUGGAAAUGACCUGAAGGAGGAACUUUGAAGGUAAACUGUGAUGGGCUUUCUUUUCUGGAAAUAGUAAUGGUGGCUGGGGAUCUAUCAUUAGAGACGAUGAAAGAGAUGAUAUCGUAUGUACGAUGGGUAAAACUCUGAAUAUACUACGUUACUUGCAUGUUGAGAUUGUGGCGGCUCACGAAUGAGCACAAUUAGUUGUGACUGCUAAGUAAAGUUGAGGUAUAAGCAAUAUUAGUUUUGAGACUAGCGGGUGUGGAACAUGAAGGGAAAGAUCUCUCUUGAGGUCUGCAUUACUAUGCUGGAUCUGAAGGAGUUUCUCUACUAAAACUUCUACAGUUUUAAAACUUGUGUACUCCAGUAGAGAUUGUAAUAAAGUAGCACAUUCCCUAACCGCCCUGGGUUGUAGUUUAAAUAUAGAAGCAAGCAUUGUAAUGGACCAUGAUGUAUCUGUUGUAAUUGAACAAGUGUCAUGCCACUUAGUUGUGACGUAUAUGUAAU